RNAcentral lists this ribosomal RNA (492 nucleotides) under uncultured bacterium. RNAcentral's name for it is "partial 16S ribosomal RNA". It matches the Rfam family "Bacterial small subunit ribosomal RNA", at positions 29 to 507 of the family's 1533-position model. The record is from RNAcentral.
AGUGAACGCUGGCGGUAUGCCUAACACAUGCAAGUCGAACGGCAGCACAGUAAGAGCUUGCUCUUACGGGUGGCGAGUGGCGGACGGGUGAGGAAUACAUCGGAAUCUACUUUUUCGUGGGGGAUAACGUAGGGAAACUUACGCUAAUACCGCAUACGACCUACUGGUGAAAGCAGGGGAUCUUCGGACCUUGCGCGAUUGAAUGAGCCGAUGUCGGAUUAGCUAGUUGGCGGGGUAAAGGCCCACCAAGGCGACGAUCCGUAGCUGGUCUGAGAGGAUGAUCAGCCACACUGGAACUGAGACACGGUCCAGACUCCUACGGGAGGCAGCAGUGGGGAAUAUUGGACAAUGGGCGCAAGCCUGAUCCAGCAAUACCGCGUGGGUGAAGAAGGCCUUCGGGUUGUAAAGCCCUUUUGUUGGGAAAGAACAGCAGCAGGUUAAUACCCUGCUGUUCUGACGGUACCAAACGAAUAAGCACCGGCUAACUUCGUG